RNAcentral lists this unclassified non-coding RNA (344 nucleotides) under soil metagenome. RNAcentral describes it as "partial contains 5.8S ribosomal RNA, internal transcribed spacer 2, and large subunit ribosomal RNA". The stretch from base 1 to 120 matches the Rfam family "5.8S ribosomal RNA", at positions 35 to 154 of the family's 154-position model. The record is from RNAcentral.
GAUGAAGAACGCAGCGAAAUGCGAUAAGUAAUGUGAAUUGCAGAAUUCAGUGAAUCAUCGAAUCUUUGAACGCACAUUGCGCCCGCCAGUAUUCUGGCGGGCAUGCCUGUUCGAGCGUCAUUUCAACCCUCAAGCCCCCGGGCUUGGUGUUGGGGAUCGGCGUGCCCUCGCGGCGCGCCGUCCCCUAAAUCUAGUGGCGGUCUCGCUGUAGCUUCCUCUGCGUAGUAGCAACACUCGCACUGGAUCGCAGCGCGGCCACGCCGUUAAACCCCCCACUUCUGAAAGUUUGACCUCGGAUCAGGUAGGAAUACCCGCUGAUCUUAAGCAUAUCAAUACGCGGAGGA